This 505-nucleotide long non-coding RNA is filed under the name Chinchilla lanigera (long-tailed chinchilla). RNAcentral describes it as "lncRNA (ENSCLAG00000024594.1)". Lineage: Eukaryota; Metazoa; Chordata; Mammalia; Rodentia; Chinchillidae. The record is from RNAcentral.
UGUCCAUGAAACAUUAAUCCAGUUAUAGUUGAUUUUCUCUCUUCAGGGGUGACUUUGAAUUCUGAUUGGAGAAAUACUUUUUCCCAGCUGGUUUUCAUUUUAACUUUCUUGUUCCUUGACUUAGAUAAAAACUUCUGCCCUAAAAUGAUUUUCUGUGUUUUAAAAUGUCUUUGUGUUCAGUUUCACACACCAAAGUCCUUCCUGCUGGGCUGAGAAGCUGGCUUUGCUGUCUGUAACUAGUAACACCCAACCUGAUUUCUCAAGAUGGCCCUGGGAGCAGCUCUGCCAGGAGUCACGGCCUCUCCAGGGUGAUGGUGUUGGAGGAUGUCCUGUGGGCGACAGUGCCCCCACCCGAACUUCCAGCCCAUGUGGAAGGUGCUGCCAGGCAGAAAGCAAAAAGCGAACAACAUCCUGUGGAAUGAAUGAAAGAACUGACCGGAUCUUCCCAUGUCCCUUGGCAGCACCUGGUUUGAGCCAUGGUAAGCUCCCUUUGGGUGGGCCAUAA